UGGAGAUGUGGCCCAACCAGUUCAUGUUUGUUUGGGCUGGGCCAGGAUGCGCCCCAAGAACCAAGGCUGGACCACCAAAUAUUCACUGGGAUUUCUCUUUUCUCAGGUGUUUGGAGCUGCUCUAAUAAUGAAGAAACAAAGCAAAACCACAAAAAUCACCUCUGAAUAAGGACGAGCUUUUCAUGAAAUAUUCCAAGGGACGUCUGGAGCUUCUCACUGGUGAGAACAUGACUCUCCUGAAGGAAACAAAGAAACCAGAGAUCAUCUCCACUCGCAGUCAGGUUUUAUGGAGAUGCAACAUGAAUUUUGGUCACUUAAUGUCCCUCAGCCUCUAACAGGUUUUCUUCAUGGAUUUAGCUCCAUCCGUCUUCCCAUGAACUGUGACCCGGAUCCCACAGCAUGAUGCUGCUCCCACCAUGUUUGACUGUGGGGGUGGUGUGUUCAGGGUAUGUGCUUUGUUAGUCUUCUGUUUAGCUCUGCUCUGAUAAGCUCACCUUCUUCCACACGUUUGCUGUGUCUCCUACAUGGCUCGUGAUGAAUUGCUAACAUGACGUCUUCUGACUUUCUUCCAUAAAUAACUUUCUUCUUGUGACUAUCAGAUAAUGGAUUGAACAGAGUUCAGUGAGAUGUUCAAAGCUUAAGAUAUUGUCUUUGAGCCUAACUCUGCUUUCAACUUCUCCACUUUCUCCCUGACCUUUCUGCUGUCUUCCCUGGUCUCCAUGAUGCUGGCUGUUUUCUGAUGUUCUCUAGCAAACAUCUGAGGCCAGAAACAGAACAUCUGGACUGUGGUUAGGUGACUAAUGGGAGACUCAGACUCAACUUUGACUUGGACUCGUGGUCUGAGACUCGAGGCUUAUUACCAGGAUUAAUCUCAUGGUUCUCCUGAAAUAAUGUGUCCCCCUGGUUACACGCCACCGUGCUCCACCAUGGCGUUCCAUUAGGUGUAGGUAUGAGUCCUGGAGGGUGGGGUCAGUGGACAGCAGACUGGUGAGGAGGAUCUCCUUGUGUGACAACCACACGAUGGUCACAGAAGAAGAACUGACACAAGACCCGGUCUGUGAGCUCCAGGCUGCAGCUGCUGCAUGUUUUACUGUGACAGGAUGAGCUUGAUCAUUAUGGGAUGUUAAUGGUUCAUAAUAACCUGCUCAUGUUAGCUGCAGCUUCAUAAUGAUAACCACAUGAACGUCUCUCCAACUGACCGCUGAAUUAAGUCAUUAGAUCAUUUAGGAACCAAAUAAAUGUUACUGAGGUUUUAAUGUGGAUUUAGAAAAUAAUUUCCUGAUAUUAUUAAAACCUGUUCAGCUCAGAGUGAGGAGAAGAAAACCCUCCAAACCAGAUUUAGAACAACAUCUCAUGAAGGAGAGGACAAUAUGAAGAGAGAGAGAAACGGCUGUUAACUUAGUUUUUACUUUACAAGAUAAUUAUUAAACGUUUAUGUAAUAAUUACAGCCUGAGGACAAACAGUCCAGCUCUGGACGCCUGACCUGCUGCGAUGCAGAGUUACAGGUGACCUGGAUGACAAUUAUUAUUUCAGUUGUUGAGCUUAGACUUGAAACUUGACUUGGAAAAAUUGUCAACAUCUCUAUUUUACAGGUAUGCACCAAGUCUCUGGUUGGAACGGGGCAAAAGGUGGAAAAGUUCAAGGGUUUGAAUACUUUUACAAGGCUCUGGAGUUCAUCGUCUACGCAGAUCUUCAUGUUUUCACACUGAUGAUCAGUUUACUUUAUUCAAACAAUAAUAGAUCAUAAAAUAAAAUGAUUUUUUAAAAGA
Girardinichthys multiradiatus is the source of this 1770-nucleotide long non-coding RNA. RefSeq lists it as uncharacterized. The record is from RefSeq and is a predicted model, not a curated record. NCBI's taxonomy places the organism in Eukaryota, Metazoa, Chordata, Actinopteri, Cyprinodontiformes, Goodeidae. The transcript is spliced from 3 exons.